Molecule: ribosomal RNA, 497 nt
Filed under: uncultured bacterium
Lineage: Bacteria
Description: partial 16S ribosomal RNA
Rfam family: Bacterial small subunit ribosomal RNA
Source: RNAcentral
GAUGAACGCUGGCGGCGUGCCUAAUACAUGCAAGUCGAGCGAACAGACGAGGAGCUUGCUCCUCUGACGUUAGCGGCGGACGGGUGAGUAACACGUGGAUAACCUACCUAUAAGACUGGGAUAACUUCGGGAAACCGGAGCUAAUACCGGAUAAUAUAUUGAACCGCAUGGUUCAAUAGUGAAAGACGGUUUUGCUGUCACUUAUAGAUGGAUCCGCUCCGCAUUAGCUAGUUGGUAAGGUAACGGCUUACCAAGGCAACGAUGCGUAGCCGACCUGAGAGGGUGAUCGGCCACACUGGAACUGAGACACGGUCCAGACUCCUACGGGAGGCAGCAGUAGGGAAUCUUCAGCAAUGGGCGAAAGCCUGACGGAGCAACGCCGCGUGAGUGAUGAAGGUCUUCGGAUCGUAAAACUCUGUUAUUAGGGAAGAACAAAUGUGUAAGUAACUAUGCACGUCUUGACGGUACCUAAUCAGAAAGCCACGGCUAACUACGUG